UCAGAUUGAACSUUGGCGGCAGCCUAACACAUGCAAGUCGAGCGGAAACAGAGAGGUGCUUGCACCUUUGCUGUCGAGCGGCGGACGGGUGAGUAAUGCCUAGAUAUCUGCCUAGUCGUGGGGGAUAACAGUUGGAAACGACUGCUAAUACCGCAUACGCCCUACGGGGGAAAGGAGGGGACCUUCGGGCCUUUCGCGAUUAGAUGAGUCUAGGUGGGAUUAGCUAGUAGGUAAGGUAAUGGCUUACCUAGGCGACGAUCCCUAGCUGUUCUGAGAGGAUGAUCAGCCACACUGGGACUGAGACACGGCCCAGACUCCUACGGGAGGCAGCAGUGGGGAAUAUUGCACAAUGGGGGAAACCCUGAUGCAGCCAUGCCGCGUGUGUGAAGAAGGCCUUCGGGUUGUAAAGCACUUUCAGCGAGGAGGAAAGGGUAGUAGUUAAUAACUGCUAUCUGUGACGUUACUCGCAGAAGAAGCACCCG
RNAcentral lists this ribosomal RNA (482 nucleotides) under Shewanella sp. Egg.D10. RNAcentral describes it as "bacterial SSU rRNA". It matches the Rfam family "Bacterial small subunit ribosomal RNA", at positions 24 to 496 of the family's 1533-position model. The record is from RNAcentral. Lineage: Bacteria; Pseudomonadati; Pseudomonadota; Gammaproteobacteria; Alteromonadales; Shewanellaceae.